GUGCACAUUUCAUUGUCUUUUUUCUUUAUUUCAAGAGGAAAGAUAUGUAUCUGAUGUGCUAAACAAACCUUUGGAGGUUAAUUAGCAGCAUGACUAAUUUAGCCAUUGCUGCCAGUCACCUUCAAACAAGU
Small nucleolar RNA from Gorilla gorilla gorilla (western lowland gorilla), 131 nucleotides. The record is from Ensembl. NCBI's taxonomy places the organism in Eukaryota, Metazoa, Chordata, Mammalia, Primates, Hominidae.